GCGUGGCUCAAGGGUAGAGCAUCUGUCUACUGUGAACAAGGCCCUGGGUUCAAUUCCCAGCCCA
RNAcentral lists this transfer RNA (64 nucleotides) under Mus musculus (house mouse). Its description in RNAcentral is "tRNA-Ser". Lineage: Eukaryota; Metazoa; Chordata; Mammalia; Rodentia; Muridae. The record is from RNAcentral.